This 372-nucleotide long non-coding RNA is filed under the name Panax ginseng (ginseng). RNAcentral describes it as "long non-coding RNA (PGIN_LNC011819)". The record is from RNAcentral. Lineage: Eukaryota; Viridiplantae; Streptophyta; Magnoliopsida; Apiales; Araliaceae.
UUCGUGCUCAAUUCGUACUCACUCGAUUAAAAGUUCGAUUCGAGCUCGACUCAAAAUAUAAAUGAGUCAAAUAUGAGCAAAUUUUAAAGUUCGAUAAAUUACUCGAACCUCCUCAAAUUGUAAUUUUCUUCGUUCGAAAAGUUUAAACUGCUCGGACUCGACUCGGAAUCGUGCUCGACUGAGUACCUAAAUGAGCCUUAAUCAAAUCUUAUUUUAUACUCAAUAAAUUUUGUGAACCAAAUUUGAGCAACUCAAUACUCGGUUUGACUCGGUUCGUUUACACCCUUAUAGAAAACUGAUAAAUUUCCAAUAAAAAAUGAUAUUUCUAUAUGAAAAUCGUCGCUAUAUAGGAACGGUAAAAACCGUCACUAU